RNAcentral lists this ribosomal RNA (2906 nucleotides) under Salmonella enterica. RNAcentral describes it as "23S ribosomal RNA". It matches the Rfam family "Bacterial large subunit ribosomal RNA". Lineage: Bacteria; Pseudomonadati; Pseudomonadota; Gammaproteobacteria; Enterobacterales; Enterobacteriaceae. The record is from RNAcentral.
GGUUAAGCGACUAAGCGUACACGGUGGAUGCCCUGGCAGUCAGAGGCGAUGAAGGGCGUGCUAAUCUGCGAUAAGCGCCGGUAAGGUGAUAUGAACCGUUAUAACCGGCGAUACCCGAAUGGGGAAACCCAGUGUGACUCGUCACACUAUCAUUAACUGAAUCCAUAGGUUAAUGAGGCGAACCGGGGGAACUGAAACAUCUAAGUACCCCGAGGAAAAGAAAUCAACCGAGAUUCCCNCAGUAGCGGCGAGCGAACGGGGAGGAGCCCAGAGCCUGAAUCAGCAUGUGUGUUAGUGGAAGCGUCUGGAAAGGCGCGCGAUACAGGGUGACAGCCCCGUACACAAANNNNNNNNUGCUGUGAGCUCGAUGAGUAGGGCGGGACACGUGGUAUCCUGUCUGAAUAUGGGGGGACCAUCCUCCAAGGCUAAAUACUCCUGACUGACCGAUAGUGAACCAGUACCGUGAGGGAAAGGCGAAAAGAACCCCGGCGAGGGGAGUGAAAAAGAACCUGAAACCGUGUACGUACAAGCAGUGGGAGCACCCUUUGGGGUGUGACUGCGUACCUUUUGUAUAAUGGGUCAGCGACUUAUAUUCUGUAGCAAGGUUAACCGAAUAGGGGAGCCGGAGGGAAACCGAGUCUUAAUUGGGCGUUAAGUUGCAGGGUAUAGACCCGAAACCCGGUGAUCUAGCCAUGGGCAGGUUGAAGGUUGGGUAACACUAACUGGAGGACCGAACCGACUAAUGUUGAAAAAUUAGCGGAUGACCUGUGGCUGGGGGUGAAAGGCCAAUCAAACCGGGAGAUAGCUGGUUCUCCCCGAAAGCUAUUUAGGUAGCGCCUCGUGAAUUCAUCUCCGGGGGUAGAGCACUGUUUCGGCUAGGGGGCCAUCCCGGCUUACCAACCCGAUGCAAACUGCGAAUACCGGAGAAUGUUAUCACGGGAGACACACGGCGGGUGCUAACGUCCGUCGUGAAGAGGGAAACAACCCAGACCGCCAGCUAAGGUCCCAAAGUCAUGGUUAAGUGGGAAACGAUGUGGGAAGGCCCAGACAGCCAGGAUGUUGGCUUAGAAGCAGCCAUCAUUUAAAGAAAGCGUAAUAGCUCACUGGUCGAGUCGGCCUGCGCGGAAGAUGUAACGGGGCUAAACCAUGCACCGAAGCUGCGGCAGCGACACUGAUGUGUUGUUGGGUAGGGGAGCGUUCUGUAAGCCUGUGAAGGUGUGUCGUGAGGCAUGCUGGAGGUAUCAGAAGUGCGAAUGCUGACAUAAGUAACGAUAAAGCGGGUGAAAAGCCCGCUCGCCGGAAGACCAAGGGUUCCUGUCCAACGUUAAUCGGGGCAGGGUGAGUCGACCCCUAAGGCGAGGCCGAAAGGCGUAGUCGAUGGGAAACGGGUUAAUAUUCCCGUACUUGGUGUUACUGCGAAGGGGGGACGGAGAAGGCUAUGUUGGCCGGGCGACGGUUGUCCCGGUUUAAGCGUGUAGGUGUGUGUUCCAGGUAAAUCCGGUUCACUUUAACACUGAGGCGUGACGACGAGGCACUACGGUGCUGAAGCAACAAAUGCCCUGCUUCCAGGAAAAGCCUCUAAGCAUCAGGUAACACGAAAUCGUACCCCAAACCGACACAGGUGGUCAGGUAGAGAAUACCAAGGCGCUUGAGAGAACUCGGGUGAAGGAACUAGGCAAAAUGGUGCCGUAACUUCGGGAGAAGGCACGCUGAUAUGUAGGUGAAGUGAUUUNNNNNNGGAGCUGAAGUCAGUCGAAGAUACCAGCUGGCUGCAACUGUUUAUUAAAAACACAGCACUGUGCAAACACGAAAGUGGACGUAUACGGUGUGACGCCUGCCCGGUGCCGGAAGGUUAAUUGAUGGGGUCAGCGCAAGCGAAGCUCCUGAUCGAAGCCCCGGUAAACGGCGGCCGUAACUAUAACGGUCCUAAGGUAGCGAAAUUCCUUGUCGGGUAAGUUCCGACCUGCACGAAUGGCGUAAUGAUGGCCAGGCUGUCUCCACCCGAGACUCAGUGAAAUUGAACUCGCUGUGAAGAUGCAGUGUACCCGCGGCAAGACGGAAAGACCCCGUGAACCUUUACUAUAGCUUGACACUGAACAUUGAGCCUUGAUGUGUAGGAUAGGUGGGAGGCUUUGAAGUGUGGACGCCAGUCUGCAUGGAGCCGACCUUGAAAUACCACCCUUUAAUGUUUGAUGUUCUAACGUGGACCCGUAAUCCGGGUUGCGGACAGUGUCUGGUGGGUAGUUUGACUGGGGCGGUCUCCUCCUAAAGAGUAACGGAGGAGCACGAAGGUUGGCUAAUCCUGGUCGGACAUCAGGAGGUUAGUGCAAUGGCAUAAGCCAGCUUGACUGCGAGCGUGACGGCGCGAGCAGGUGCGAAAGCAGGUCAUAGUGAUCCGGUGGUUCUGAAUGGAAGGGCCAUCGCUCAACGGAUAAAAGGUACUCCGGGGAUAACAGGCUGAUACCGCCCAAGAGUUCAUAUCGACGGCGGUGUUUGGCACCUCGAUGUCGGCUCAUCACAUCCUGGGGCUGAAGUAGGUCCCAAGGGUAUGGCUGUUCGCCAUUUAAAGUGGUACGCGAGCUGGGUUUAGAACGUCGUGAGACAGUUCGGUCCCUAUCUGCCGUGGGCGCUGGAGAACUGAGGGGGGCUGCUCCUAGUACGAGAGGACCGGAGUGGACGCAUCACUGGUGUUCGGGUUGUCAUGCCAAUGGCACUGCCCGGUAGCUAAAUGCGGAAGAGAUAAGUGCUGAAAGCAUCUAAGCACGAAACUUGCCCCGAGAUGAGUUCUCCCUGAGACUUAAAGUCUCCUGAAGGAACGUUGAAGACGACGACGUUGAUAGGCCGGGUGUGUAAGCGCAGCGAUGCGUUGAGCUAACCGGUACUAAUGAACCGUGAGGCUUAACCUU